Molecule: non-coding RNA, 69 nt
Organism: Rattus norvegicus (Norway rat)
Lineage: Eukaryota; Metazoa; Chordata; Mammalia; Rodentia; Muridae
Source: Rfam
GGGGAUUUGGCUCAGUGGUAGAGCACUUGCCUAGCAUGCGCAAGGCCCUGGGUUCGGUCCCCAGCUCCG